ACAGGGUGAGGUAGUAGGUUGUGUGGUUUCAGGGUUGUUAUUUUACCCCAUCGGGAGUUAACUAUACAACCUACUGCCUUUCCUGG
RNAcentral lists this microRNA precursor (86 nucleotides) under Gasterosteus aculeatus (three-spined stickleback). RNAcentral's name for it is "let-7 microRNA precursor family". It matches the Rfam family "let-7 microRNA precursor family". From Rfam's summary of the family: This family represents the microRNAs (miRNA) let-7 and mir-98. let-7 was identified from a study of developmental timing in C. elegans, and was later shown to be part of a much larger class of non-coding RNAs termed miRNAs. The extents of the hairpin precursors are not generally known and are estimated based on hairpin prediction. The record is from Rfam by way of RNAcentral. Lineage: Eukaryota; Metazoa; Chordata; Actinopteri; Perciformes; Gasterosteidae.